Molecule: long non-coding RNA, 10944 nt
Filed under: Solanum tuberosum (potato)
Lineage: Eukaryota; Viridiplantae; Streptophyta; Magnoliopsida; Solanales; Solanaceae
Source: RNAcentral
UCUGUUCUGAUCUAGGGUUUUACAGCUUUCACUUACUCCAUAAGAGUAAGCUCUGCCCCUUCGAGUUUACAGUUUUCAGUUUCUAUUAGAUUUGUUUGUUUUCAUCUAAUUUCCUUUGGCCUAUGAUUAAAAUUCUUAAAUAUAGACAAGCAUAUGUCUGAAUUUUCAUCAUGUUGAAUACCUAAUCUUCUCUAUGAGGCCAAUUACAUCUAUUUUUUUUUUUUAUGUUUUUCUAUCCAGAUUUCUACUUUUUGUGCUCAAUAAUUCAAACAAAAAACUGGGUCAUAUGAUGAUUAGAAGCAUAGUUCAAAUGAAAUCUAUGUGAUUACAAAACUUCUUUUUUAGUCUUUCGCUCCUAUCUGAUGACUCUUUUUAUUACUAUUAAAAAUCUGAUUUUUAAGCAAUUAAUUGUUGUAUUUUUUUUGAAAAAUUGAAAUGGUUAAUGGACAAUGACGAUUUAUCUAUUGGUCUCGUUCGUCGUAAUGGUGUUUAAACCACCUUGCCGACCAUUCUGAUAUAUCACCACCCAUAAACUGAGUCCUAUUACUAUACCUUUUUUUUUGUUUAUUUUUCAAUUUAGUUCUUCGUUUCUGGUGCUGUGAUGAAAAAAAUCUUGUGUCGGAGGCUUUUUGUCGCUGAUGGUUUACACAACCCUCUAAGAAGUUCUGAGCACUUUUUUUGUUUUCAAUUUCAGUAUUUUUUCUGAUUAUUUAGUAGUAGUAAUUGAAUGAUAAGUAAUUUAUUUUGAGGAUGAAUGAAGUGAUGAUAGAAUUCAUAUGUUAAUUCACUGAAUUACAUUUUUAUGAUGUUAAGAGUGAAUCCCGACAGGUUCUGAUCGUUUAUUAGUUAAUUAAUCCUCCAUUAAUUGUGAUUUUGCUUUGUUAAUUUUAUGUCUUGUGGGCAAAUGAUGAAAUUUUUAUAUCGUAAAUGGGUAAUUUGCGUCUGAAUCUUUCUUUGAUGUUAUAACCUUGGAGAACUGAUGCCCUUUAAACUUUUUACUUUGCAUUUUGUUUUCAUAAUGCCAAUUAGCAGAGCAAAGGUGUCUUUCACAAAUGACACACAUUUGCAUUGAAGGUUGGCUAUAUAUAUAUAGCGAUUCUCCGUGCCUUUCAAGCUUUUUUCUCGUAUUGAUUACGGCCUCGAACAAAUUGCUACAUUUUCUCCCUUCACUGUUGUGCUUAUUUGGUACCUUAGUUGCUUUGUUUUUAACGUAGACAAUUUGCAGAGCAAGGGUGUCUUUCAAAAUGACAUACAUUUGCAUUGAAGGUUGGCCAUAUGUAUAGCGAUUCUCCGUGCCUUUCAAGCUUUCUUCUCGUAUUGAUUACGGCCUCGAACAAAUUGCUACAUCCACCAAUUAUUAUGGUACAUUUAUCUAUAAAUUUGGUUAUAUAAAUGACUUGAUCUUGACAAUGAGUUUGUAUUAUCUAAUUUUAGUUUAAGUUUCUUAAUUAUGCAUAAACUAUUAAAUUUGUGAUCUUAGUAGUUACUCUCUGUAGUAAAUUUGUUUAUUAUCAUUGGCCGAUGAUUAAAUUUCUAAUAUAGACAAGCAUAUGACUGAAUUUUCAUUAUGUUGAAUACCUAAUCUUCUCUAUGAGGCCAAUCAUAUUUUUUCCAUAUUGUUAUGCUUCCUGUGUUCAAUAGUUUUAUAAAAAUAGUUUUUUUUUGUGUUGUCAUUGUUUAUAAACGGGUCAUAUGAUGAUUAAAAGCAUAGUUCAAAUGAAUUCUUUGUGAUUAUAAAACAAUCUUUAUAGUCUUUCGCUCCUAUCUGAUGACUCCUUUUUUAUUUGUGUUAAAGGUAUGAUUUGUUUUUGAAAAUUUUGAAAGGGUUAAUGGACUAUGACGACUUAUAUCUAUUGGUCUCGUUCGUCGUAAUGGUGUUUAAACCACCUUGCCGACCAUUCUGAUAUAUCACCACCCAUAAACUGAGUCCUAUUACUAAACUUUGCUAUUAAUUCUUUUAUUUUCCUGUUCAUUUUGAGAUGUAAUGGUUAUUUUUUACUUUUAUGGUGCUUUGAUGAAAAAAUCUUGUGUCGGAGACUCUGGUCUGUGAUGGCUUACACAACCCUCUAAGAAGUUCUGAGCACUAUUUUUUUUUUAUUUCCAAACACGGAGUAUUGUUUUUCUCGCAAGUAUUCAAUUUUUUAAGAUUAUUUGUUAUGUUAAUGUCUUGUGAGGAGUAACGAAGUGAUGAUAGAAUUCAUAAGUCUGUCAAUCCACUGAAAUACAUUUUAUGAUGUAAAGUGUGAAUCCCGACAGGUUCUGAUCGUUAAGUGAAUAAUCCUCCAUUUACUUUUCCUUUUUGCGCUUACUCAUUUUUGAACUUUAGUUUUAUGGGCAACUGAUGAAUCUUAUAUAUCGUAAAUGGGUAAUUUGCGUCUGAAUCUUUUCAUUGAUGCUAUCAACCUUGGAGAACUGAUGCCCUUGAAAAAUUUUAUUUUGUAUUUGAAUGAUUUUGAUGUGGGCUAGUAACUUUUGGAUGAUUGGUCUGAUAAGAGUAUAGGAGUGGGAAAUUAGGGUGAUCAGUGAUGGAGUGUAGGCCUCCCGUGAUGUGCCCUUGUUUCCUAGAGAAUGGCAAGUAACUAAUGUGGGAUCGUGUAACCGACAUUGCAAUCGAUGAUGACAACCCUUCCAAUACGAUUCAACAUCGGUUACUUUUCUACCAACUAAGUUAUGCAGCUGUCUUGGAGAUUGUAAGUUAACAGGCAGUUUUUUUCUGGGAUUUGAUACAUUUGGUCCACCCAUGUUGAACCAAAGAGGAAAUGAUGUGUAUUUAUUGUCAUCUGACUUGCAUUCCAUAUGUGGAUGUUAAAGUGGUGAAUGAUUCAUUAUAACUGAUCCUCUCAGUGUAAGUUGAAAAUAUCGUUUUGAUUAUGUUAAAUAUGUUCAGAAGAUUGCUUAUGAAAAGUAUUGUCUUUUAUUUAUUUGUGAUCAUUGGCUUGUUGUGUAGUUUCCUAAUUCACCAAAGAAGAUGCAGCUGAUAGAUGUAAAUUUAGAGUUUGAGACGUAGCAACAGAAAAAUUCUAUUGGAAGGCUUGUUAGUUGUAAAUUAUACUGAUGUAUUAAAACCUAUGUCAGAAUGUAACUGGCUCCAUAUUUAUUUGAAAGUUGUAAAUUUUAACCAAAAUUGAAAGGUAAAUGUAAUGCAAAUUUACAAAAAAAUUACAGGUUUGAAAUAUUUAUUGACAAUUUUUUCACCGAGGAAGUUGGCAUCACCCUCUUGGGCGAUUAUUAUUGACUAUUGUAAAUAGUUGCUUGAAACCAACAGUCACAAAUGUAAAUUGUGACUGGGUUAUUAUUAUUGAAUAUUGUUAGUAGUUGCUCGACUUUAACUAAAUUGUGACCAAGUGAAGAUUGCAAAAUAUUAAGAACUUGCUAAAUUGUAAAGUGGUGUUUAAAAAAAUGAAGUUUCUUUCUCUAGAAACUUGUAUAAAAUUAAUCAAGUAGACGACAUAUAUCUUAAGUGCUUAUUUGUGCACAUCAAAAGUUAAGGAUUAUAAUUUUCAACUGACGUUAAGUUAAGAGUCAUCUUUAUGUGUUAAUACCUUAGUUAUGCAUAGAUUACUUUUUAUGCAUUGUUUGAUUUGUUGUAUUAAAAAUAAUAUGCAUAGUUUAAAAAUAUUAAUUUACAAAAUUUGGCCAGAAAAUUGAAGUCUAUAUGAUAUUUUUUUAAUUUUAAAAUCAAUCAAUCUUUUUUUCAUUUUUUAAUUAAAAGGUAUUAAAGUUAAAAAGAUAAAAUAAUAUAGGUUAUCAUUUUGGCUAUAUUCUGGCCAAAUUUUUUGGCCAAUAUGGUGGAAAUAAAAGAUCUUUAACCACCACAUCUAUUAAAUUUCUUUGCAUUAUUAAUGCCUAGAAGAAUACAUUCUUCAAUAACUAAUAGCAUGAAAAAAUAUACCAAACAAGGGAUUACUAUUACAAAGAGCUAAUGCAUGCAUUAUUUUUGCUAGUACUCUACGAACAACCCCUUAGCGUCCACUGGAUAUCUAGAAAAUCAAAAAAAAAAAAUGGCAGAUGAAAGUAUACCAAGGCUUGAAUACAACCAAUGACAACAUAUCCAGUGAAAUUUUACAACUGGAAUUUGAAGAGGAUGUGUACAAAACCUUACAUCCUCAGCUCAAGUAAGUCAAAUGCCUGCUAAUAUACAUUACAUCCUACCUCAAAAUAGACAUAUUACACUACUAUGCCAAACAAUGAAUAGAUAAUCACUUUUACAUUUUCAUAUCAAUUCCAAACAGAAAAGAAGGAAUUGUGACUUUAAGUUUUCAGGCUAAAUAAGUUAUUGAGGCACUGUUAUAUCACUUGUACUCUCCUGCUUGUCGACAGCACAACCUUCAGGAAGAACUGUUCCGCCAAUUCUUUUUGGAGGCCAAUACCGAAAUAUGGACCUGCCUAUUAUGUUCUUCGCAGGAAGUGCUCCCCUGAUAAAAAAAAAUGAUUCAGAUGUAAGAUGAGCAUAUUUAACGAACUAGCAGUUUAUAGAAGACGCUGCAACUUUUCAGAGAGCGGAAAACUCACCACACAUGGGAAUCAUAGCUGUUAUUCCGAUUAUCACCCAUAACGAAAACUGAAUUCUCAGGUACACGCUGCAGUAAGACAUGGAUAAGAAACAGUAAGAACAGUAUGCAUUCUUACACUAAGAAAUUAAACAACAGACUUUGGCCACAAUCAAUGUUGUCCCACCCGUGUUGGAUCCUCCAAAAUGCACUACUUUUGGACAAUCCGACACACAUAUAUUGAUGUUUUAUGAAGAGUCCAAGCAACAUAGCCCACUGCUAUGAUGGUUUUAGGUAGUCAAGUCUGGAUGAGCCAAUAUUUUUGUUUAUUCGAAACUUCCUAAGAAAAUGAAUUGGAGGAAAGCUGAUUGUUGAGUUAAAUGAAUCAGUAGAAAUGGAACAUACCACUGGUGUCAUUUCGUAUUUGGGUGCCUCGUUUAUAAAAUCUUCAUUUCGCGCAACUCCAUUUACGAUCAGCUUUCCUUCAUGAACCUGCACUACCAAGAAUCACCAAAAUAUUUCCUUAUAUAUUCCUGGCAAUUUGGCCAUAUAUUUGGUAAUACAAAUUACUCCUCCCCCUAUCCAAAAUAAACCGGAAGAAAGACAUAAACCAACGAUUUAAAUGUAUGGAGAUUCAUCACGGAGAGGAUGAGAGGGAUCUUGUUUUAGUAAAUGAAAGGCAGACUUCCCUUGACCAUCCUUUUCUAUAUUCGGAUUUAGAACCUAAUUAUAACACUUACACAGGUUGAAUAUUUGAGUUAUCUUUCGGAUGUUUAAGAAUGAAUAAAUGAAAGUAAUAUUGCAAAGUCUAAAACAGGAUUUCAGUUAAGUGGACAGUAUCUUCCAUAAUUGUCUCUGAAUCUGAACCAUUGUAUUUUAUUAAAAAAAGAGAGGCGGAGUUCAAGUUUAUGAUUAAAAUGGCGGAUUUUAUGGCUUAAGAGAACUAGCAGAAUAUUUCAAGGCAGCAGAAGAAACAUACAUAGCCUUAAACAAAGAUGAAUAUUUUUGCUAGCUUUUUGGUGCAACCUGGAAUUGUAUGUCAUGAAGAAGCAAUCCUAGACACAAUAGAGGAUCUGCACAAUCUGUAAUUACGUUUGUGGCACAGCUUAGUGCACGAAUUUAUAUAAUCUUUGGUUACUUAAUAAGAAAAAGGGGAGCAAUUAGAUGCCAAAAAACCUUGUUGAGGACUAUCUCAUGAGUGGAACCAAAUGGCGGAGAAGCAUGCAAUUUGACAACGCCCAUUGAUGUUGCAAUUCUAUCAUAGACCACUUGGGUAAUGCCGAUGGUUAUAUAUCAAUAUCUAUGUAGCGCUAUUGGAAAAGAUUCGAAAAAGACAUGAUAAAUCAACAGAGGGGGAAUGGCGGAGAGAAGAUACAUUACCCAAACUGAGAGUUUUUACAAAAAGGUCUGUUCCCUCAAUAUACUGAUUGGAUCGACAAGGUCAGUGUAUGGUUUUGACAAAGAGAUAAACAUGCAGAUAUUGAAAGACUUGACUCUUGUUGGUGAGAGAGAGUAGCAGAAAUGAAAUACGAGGGUAUUAUCACCCAAAGGCAUUCUAUCAACCAAUUCAGCUGCUUCUAUAGCCAUUUAGGUGGGGUGAGGGAGACUCAACAAAGCAUGAAAUAGUGGUGGCUAUGAAAUACCAAUUGAUCAGUCAAAUCAAGCAGUUCAAGUCCACAGCAAUUAAAAUAUAGUAUUAUUGCUUCUAUUAUCUAGUGAACUCACCUCGACAAUAUCACCUUCCUUUGCAACAAUCCUCUUGAUAAAGACAUCGUCAUCCGUGUAUCCUACCUCCUGAAGAACUGGUGGACUUUUGAAUAUUACUAUGUCAUUGGGACAUGGCUUUCUAAAAUAGUAACUGACCUGCAAACCACAAGAUCGACAUAGUUACGAACAAAAAUGACUUCAAAAUAAUCGAUAUAAGAUGGAAAGAACAGACUCUACAGGAGGUUUAAACUUUAUUUCAAUAAGAUUCUGUAGGAGGCUUAAGCAUAUGUUCAUACCCUCAGCUAGUCUAUGAUUGCAACACAAGUACACAUAUCAUUAACUUCAAACACUAAUACAAGAACGACGAUGCAAUUUGCGGGUAGUUCUCUUACACCUAGUAAAAGGUGAUUUGAUGCACCCCCAAGGCCUAGCUCAAGUGGCAAAAGGUGGAGGAUUUGUGGCUUAGGUCGCAGGCCCAAGCCCCACACCACGCAAAGCGAAGCCUGGUAUUUAAGUGGAGAAGGGUAGAGGGGCGGGCCCAUUAUCCACCGAUUUUAGAAGGCUGUGAUUGGUCCAAAGGGCAGGUCACACACGGAUUUCUUGGUUAUCAAAAAAAAAAAGGUGAUUUGAUGCGCCCCCAAGGCCUAGCUCAAGUGGCAAAAGGUGGAGGAUUUGUGGCUUAGGUCGCAGGUUCAAGCCCCAGACCAUGCAAAGCGAAGCCUGGUAUUUAAGUGGAGAAGGGUAGAGGGGCGGUCCCAUUAUCCACCGAUUUUAGAAGGCUGUGAUUGGUCCAAAGGGCAGGUCACACACGGAUUUCUUGGUUAUCAAAAAAAAAAAAAAGGUGAUUUGAUGCAUUUACAAUUGAUAGUAACAGCAAAUUGAUCACUAAUCACUAAAAGUUACUACAAUCCUAAAAUCAUAUUCAAAGUUAAACUAUUUCAUAUUUUAACGUCUAUACUUUCUGAUACUGACAUUUUCAUUUCAAAUUCAACAUUUAGGUCCAGGAGGGACCAAGAAGCAUAAACUCCACAACAAUAUUGUACUCUACAUUUCAAUUGUCUCCAACAAUUGAUUCCCUUACAUUUCAGUUUGUCCCCAACAUCCAAUGUUGGAAACUAAAUCAACUGUCACUAGUUUAUUCAGAAGGAUAUAUUCAGCAAAAGAAGUGUCCAACUUAUAAAUCAAUUAUGCUUCAAUCUUGAACUAGUCGGCGUUAGCUUAUAUAAACCACUCGUAAUUUGAUGAUUCAUCAUAGUUAGGCUGUCUUUACACUACUUCAACAUACUUCCUUUAUCCAAACUUGAGACCGACUAUCCUAAGCAAAGUUGAACUUCAUUGGCAUCCAAAGGUACAAAUUCACAAACAUAUAGUCAAAAUAAAACAAAUUACUUUUCAGCUACAAGUUUCCAAAUCAAUUGUCAACUGUCACUAUUUAAAUCAGAACAAUAUAUUCAGCAAAAAGGUGUCCAACUUUAUCAACAUCUUAUAUAGAGUAUCAAUUAUGCCACUAUCGGAAACAACCUCUCUACCCAACAAAGGUAGGGGUAAGGUUUACAUACAUCCUACCCUCCCCAUACGGCCAUACCCCACUUGUGAGACUACACUGGGUAUGUUAUUGUAUUGCUUCUAUCCGAAACUAAUCGGGUUCAGCUUAGAUGAUUCAUCACAGUUAGACUAGUUCAACACUGGCAUUCAACCUACCUUAAAUCUCCUCCUUUACCCAAACUCAAGCCUAACUAUCCUUGUGAAGUUCAACUACAUCAACAAUAACAGCAACAACAACACUACUACUAUGCCUCAGUUCCAAUAUGAAGUCAGUUAUAUGAAUCCUCACUGCUUCACUUAAGUUUAACUCAUGUCAAAACAACAAAUUCACAAACAUAUAGUAAAAAAAAAAAAAAAAACUUUACUUUUCAGCAACAAUUCUAUCUCCACAGCAAAUGUGGGAUACAUGGACAAGGAACUACAACAACUAUUACUACUACUAAUGUUGCUUCUGCUGCUGCUGCUGCUACUACGCCUCAGUCCCAAUUUGGGGCCGGUUAUAUGAAUCCUCACUGCUUCAUUUAAGUUCAACUCAUGUCAAAAUAACAAAUUCACUAACAUAUAGUCAAAACAAAACAAAAAUUUACCUUUUCAGCUACAAUUAUAUCUCCAACAUAAGAUGUGGGAUACAUGGACAAGGAACAACAACUACUGCUACUACUACUGCUGCUAAUACAACUAAUGCUAAUACUAAUACUCAGUCCCGAUUUGGAGUCAGGCAAUAUGAAUACUCAGCUCAUAUAAGUUCAACUCAUGUCAAAAGAACAAAUUCACAAACAUAUAGUCAAAAUAAAACAAAAAUUUACCUUUUCAGCUACAAUUCUAUCUCCAACAUCAAAUGUAGGAUACAUGGACAAUGAAGGUAUAAACCUUGGUUCAGCCACAAAUGACCUAAAUGCAAGUGAUAUAGCCACUGCCACAAAAACAGUUUUUGCAUCAUCUGAAGUAAUAUUCACCCAUUCUGGCAAAACCCCAUUUUCCUUCUCAGAUUGCUCAUCAUCUCCACCACCACCACCACCAUCUCCGCCGCCGUCACUGCCUCCGCCGUCACGGUCCAAAACCGUUUUUGUCUCAUCUUUAACCCCUUUACACUUGAACCUCUGAUUUUGAGAUUUGCUACAUCUAAAACACUUGAAAGUUAGAAUCUUUGAGGUUUUUAUGAAAGAUUUGAAAUGGGUGUCAUUGAAUUGAAGGGUUUUAGAUAAAGGGUUGGAAUUGAAAGGUGAAAAUUGUGGGGAUUUUGAAGGUAUUGAAGAAAAUGGAGAGAGGAACUGUAGAGUUAUCAUUGGAUUUAGUGUAACUUUUUUAUCUGCAACAAUUUUACAGAGUUUCUUGAUUCCUAUAUGUGUUGAAUUCGAAUUGGUAGUUAAUAACAAUGAGUUCUUUCCUUUUUCAAGAAAAAAUUAGUGCCCGAAUACACACUUAAACUAAUAUAAAGUUGAAUAUAAAGGUACAUGCAUUCUACUUGGCAUUUUACGAUAAGUGUAUUUCAUGUAAAUUAUCACGUAAUAUGCAACGUAGGAUGCAUUUAGCUAUUUGUUCAACUUUAUAUAAAUCUGAGUGUCUAUUUAUGCACGUUUAAAGUUGAAAGGCAUAAAUAUUAAUUGAAAUCAAGUUAACAUCGUGUUUGGAUGAUUGUUACCUAUUGUAUUGUUAGUUUAAAUACAAUGUUUGUUUUGAUUGUAACUUAAAUUUUAUUGUAUCGUUUAAAUUCAUCGUUAGAUAAUGACAAAAAGACCAAUUUUAUGUAACGAUAGAUUUGGUGUGAUCGUGUCGUUACCUUAACAUUUUCUUCUCAUUUUGUCUUUGUUUAUUAUUUAAUAAUUAUAUUUUAUCUUUUAUCCUACCUUUUCAUAGUAUCUCUACCUCAUAUCCAACUUCUUUUGUAGGUUUAUCAUUCAAAUUAUAGACCAGUAGCAUUAUGUAAUGACGGAGAACGAUACAAUAUAUUCAAAUAAUGUAUUCAUUAGAACAAAUACAAUACAAUGAUAUAUAACAAAAUACAAUAGAAUAUAUUAUGAAACAUUACGUAACAAUCAUCCAGCAUACUAAUUGCUUCUUAAAUUCAUUCAUUAGCCUAAUAAUUUUUUGGAAAAAUUACCUAUAUACACACCUUUAUUUUCCAUAAUUUCCAUUAUUCCCUACCAUUUUAAAAUAUUUUCAAAAUCCCUUAUUAUUCCCCAAUUCUCAAGUCAGCCGAUACAUUACUCCUAACACAACAAACCCACUUUUCCCUUCCUAUUUUUGCUCCUUAAAUCUCUCCCUUAUUUCACUCCCAUAAUCUGAUCAGUUACAUCCUUCAUCCCAAUUUGAAUUUCAAAAGGUUUCUCUCUCUAAUAUCAAUCAAUUUCAAAUCACUGAAUAUGUAGUUUUCAUCUUCUCAAUUCUACUAUUCUUCGAUUUUUCUUGAAGUUUUCAUCUUCUUCAUCUAGCAUUUGAAUUAAACUCAUCUAAGAUUAAUAAUACUAGUGCUUAUGAGAACGACGUAGUUCCUAAUUUCUUUGUCAUUGCUGAUUUCAGUCCCCAAUAUUAGUCUUAUUUUUAUGUCGAGGCAAAUUUUUCUGAUUUAUUUUUGGUGGGGGUGUACUUGGAUAUUCUUCCAACAUAACAGGAGAAACAGAAAAGACUGAUGAUCAAUCCAAAAUAAACAAUAUUAGUUCAUCAAGUUAUAAUGAGUAUUAGAUAUAAAUUUUUGACAUAUGUUUGAUAUUGCCCUUUGUUAGUUGUUUCAAGAAUCUGAUAUAUUAAUGGCAAAGUGUUGUUCUUGUAUUGUCAUGUAUCAUAAGUUAAAUAUAUUAUAUCAAUACAUAAAAUUCUAAUUUUGUUCUCUUUUUGAAUAGGUGUCAUGAAUGGGAUGUAAUAUGCAGAAUGUUAUAUCAUAUACAUAUAACUAUACAUGAUACAUAAAUAUUACAUAAUGAGUAUAUGAAGUUAUAAUUAGUAUCAAAUAUAAGUUUUUGAUACAUUUGCAGUUUAUCAAGUUGUAAUGAGUAUCAAUAUCAGAUACACAGUUAAAAUACUUUAUAUUUGCUAUUAUCAUAUACUUGAAUUUUAAUAUGUAUCAAAUUCAAAAAUUUGUUGAAAUGUAUCAAAUUCACACAUAAGAUACAUUACAAGUUACUAAUUUAAUUGUUUGUCAUUUUGUUUAGAUUAUGUGCGUACACGAUAUGCAACCCUAUUAUGAAAAAACGGUAUUGAAAAG